RNAcentral lists this ribosomal RNA (415 nucleotides) under uncultured bacterium. RNAcentral describes it as "bacterial SSU rRNA". It matches the Rfam family "Bacterial small subunit ribosomal RNA", at positions 355 to 767 of the family's 1533-position model. The record is from RNAcentral.
UAAGGAAUAUUGGACAAUGGAGGCAACUCUGAUCCAGCCAUGCCGCGUGAAGGAAUAAGGCCCUAUGGGUUGUAAACUUCUUUUAGACGGGACAAAACCCCUUUACGUGUAAAGGGUUGAUGGUACUGUCAGAAUAAGCAUCGGCUAACUUCGUGCCAGCAGCCGCGGUAAUACGAAGGAUGCAAGCGUUAUCCGGAAUUAUUGGGUUUAAAGGGUGCGUAGGCGGACUAAUAAGUCAGUGGUGAAAGCCUGCAGCUUAACUGCAGAAUUGCCAUUGAUACUGUUAGUCUUGAGUACAGUUGAGGUAGGCGGAAUGUGUCAUGUAGCGGUGAAAUGCUUAGAUAUGACACAGAACACCGAUUGCGAAGGCAGCUUGCUAAGCUGUAACUGACGCUGAGGCACGAAAGCGUGGGGA